UACAGGGGGGGCAAGCGUUGUUCGGAAUUACUGGGCGUAAAGGGCCAGUAGGCGGCCAACUAAGUCACACGUGAAAUCCCCAGGCUUAACCUGGGAACUGCGUGUGAUACUGGAUGGCUUGAAUUCGGGAGAGGGAUGCAGAAUUCCAGGUGUAGCGGUGAAAUGCGUAGAUAUCAGGAAGAACACCCGUGGCGAAGGCGGCUCUCUGGUACGUGACUGACGCUGAGACGCGAAAGCGUGGGGAGCAAACAGG
RNAcentral lists this ribosomal RNA (253 nucleotides) under uncultured bacterium. RNAcentral's name for it is "partial 16S ribosomal RNA". It matches the Rfam family "Bacterial small subunit ribosomal RNA", at positions 524 to 776 of the family's 1533-position model. The record is from RNAcentral.